RNAcentral lists this ribosomal RNA (503 nucleotides) under uncultured bacterium. Its description in RNAcentral is "partial 16S ribosomal RNA". It matches the Rfam family "Bacterial small subunit ribosomal RNA", at positions 30 to 523 of the family's 1533-position model. The record is from RNAcentral.
AUUGAACGCUGGCGGCAGGCUUAACACAUGCAAGUCGAGCGGGGUGAUGGUGCUUGCACUAUCACUUAGCGGCGGACGGGUGAGUAAUGCUUAGGAAUCUGCCUAUUAGUGGGGGACAACAUCUCGAAAGGGAUGCUAAUACCGCAUACGUCCUACGGGAGAAAGCAGGGGAUCACUUGUGACCUUGCGCUAAUAGAUGAGCCUAAGUCGGAUCAGCUAGUUGGUGGGGUAAAGGCCUACCAAGGCGACGAUCUGUAGCGGGUCUGAGAGGAUGAUCCGCCACACUGGGACUGAGACACGGCCCAGACUCCUACGGGAGGCAGCAGGGGGGAAUAUUGGACAAUGGGGGGAACCCUGAUCCAGCCAUGCCGCGUGUGUGAAGAAGGCCUUAUGGUUGUAAAGCACUUUAAGCGAGGAGGAGGCUCUUUUGGUUAAUACCCAAGAUGAGUGGACGUUACUCGCAGAAUAAGCACCGGCUAACUCUGUGCCAGCAGCCGCCGUAA